This 570-nucleotide ribosomal RNA is filed under the name Salmonella enterica subsp. enterica serovar Enteritidis. Its description in RNAcentral is "partial 23S ribosomal RNA". It matches the Rfam family "Bacterial large subunit ribosomal RNA", at positions 1 to 602 of the family's 2925-position model. The record is from RNAcentral. Lineage: Bacteria; Pseudomonadati; Pseudomonadota; Gammaproteobacteria; Enterobacterales; Enterobacteriaceae.
GGGUUGUGAGGUUAAGCGACUAAGCGUACACGGUGGAUGCCCUGGCAGUCAGAGGCGAUGAAGGGCGUGCUAAUCUGCGAUAAGCGCCGGUAAGGUGAUAUGAACCGUUAUAACCGGCGAUACCCGAAUGGGGAAACCCAGUGUGAUUCGUCACACUAUCAUUAACUGAAUCCAUAGGUUAAUGAGGCGAACCGGGGGAACUGAAACAUCUAAGUACCCCGAGGAAAAGAAAUCAACCGAGAUUCCCCCAGUAGCGGCGAGCGAACGGGGAGGAGCCCAGAGCCUGAAUCAGCAUGUGUGUUAGUGGAAGCGUCUGGAAAGGCGCGCGAUACAGGGUGACAGCCCCGUACACAAAAGCGCAUGUGCUGUGAGCUCGAUGAGUAGGGCGGGACACGUGGUAUCCUGUCUGAAUAUGGGGGGACCAUCCUCCAAGGCUAAAUACUCCUGACUGACCGAUAGUGAACCAGUACCGUGAGGGAAAGGCGAAAAGAACCCCGGCGAGGGGAGUGAAAAAGAACCUGAAACCGUGUACGUACAAGCAGUGGGAGCACCCUUUGGGUGUGACUGCGU